RNAcentral lists this transfer RNA (74 nucleotides) under Talaromyces pinophilus. RNAcentral's name for it is "tRNA-Ile (TAT) (tRNA-Ile-TAT-1-1)". It matches the Rfam family "tRNA". From Rfam's summary of the family: Transfer RNA (tRNA) molecules are approximately 80 nucleotides in length. Their secondary structure includes four short double-helical elements and three loops (D, anti-codon, and T loops). The record is from RNAcentral. Lineage: Eukaryota; Fungi; Ascomycota; Eurotiomycetes; Eurotiales; Trichocomaceae.
GGACGGAUAGCUCAGUUGGUUAGAGCACCGUGCUUAUGCCACGGGGGUCGGGAGUUCAACUCUCCCUUCGUCCA